RNAcentral lists this unclassified non-coding RNA (168 nucleotides) under soil metagenome. Its description in RNAcentral is "partial internal transcribed spacer 1". The record is from RNAcentral.
GUGAAUUAAACAUGCUUGGUGUCUUCGCUUCGGCAAGGCCCUUGCUUAAAUCACAUCCUAACACCUGUGAACUGUAAGACGUAUGAUGAGGUCUUUGGCCAAGUCAUCGUCUGCCCAUUUUUAACAAACAAUUAAUGUAACAAAACGUAGUCUUAUUAUAACCUAAUA